CGGGGAAGUAGGGACCAACAGGGGAUUGCCUCAGUAACGGCGAGUGAAGCGGCAAGAGCUCAAAUUUGAAAGCUGGCCCCUUCGGGGUCCGCGUUGUAAUUUGCAGAGGAUGCUUCGGGUGCAGCCCCCGUCUAAGUGCCCUGGAACGGGCCGUCAUAGAGGGUGAGAAUCCCGUCUGGGACGGGGUGUCUGCGUCCGUGUGAAGCUCCUUCGAAGAGUCGAGUUGUUUGGGAAUGCAGCUCUAAAUGGGUGGUAAAUUUCAUCUAAAGCUAAAUACUGGCCGGAGACCGAUAGCGCACAAGUAGAGUGAUCGAAAGAUGAAAAGCACUUUGAAAAGAGAGUUAAACAGCACGUGAAAUUGUUGAAAGGGAAGCGUUUGCGACCAGACUCGCUCGCGGGGUUCAGCCGGCAUUCGUGCCGGUGUACUUCCCCGUGGGCGGGCCAGCGUCGGUUUGGGCGGCCGGUCAAAGGCCCUCGGAAUGUAUCACCUCUCGGGGUUGUCUUAUAGCCGAGGGUGCAAUGCGGCCUGCCCGGACCGAGGAACGCGCUUCGGCUCGGACGCUGGCGUAAUGGUCGUAAAUGACCCGUCUUGAAACACGGACCAAGGAGUCUAACAUCUACGCGAGUGUUCGGGUGUCAACCCGUACGCGCAGUGAAAGCGAACGGAGGUGGGAGCCCCCUCGUGGGGCGGCACCAUCGACCGAUCCUGAUGUCUUCGGAUGGAUUUUGAGUACGAGCGUAGCUGUGGGGACCCGAAAGAUGGGUGAACUUAUGGCCUGGAUUAGGCGAAGCCCGAAGAAACUCCUGUGGAGGCUCGCACCGGUUUCUUGACGUUGCCAAGUCGAAUUCGUUCACACAUUCGGCGUAAUAGGGGCGAAGGAACCUUGAAGGUCGGAAAGCAU
Molecule: ribosomal RNA, 902 nt
Filed under: Aspergillus aureolus
Lineage: Eukaryota; Fungi; Ascomycota; Eurotiomycetes; Eurotiales; Aspergillaceae
Description: partial large subunit ribosomal RNA
Rfam family: Eukaryotic large subunit ribosomal RNA
Source: RNAcentral